RNAcentral lists this long non-coding RNA (787 nucleotides) under Anser brachyrhynchus (Pink-footed goose). RNAcentral describes it as "lncRNA (ENSABRG00000014138.1)". The record is from RNAcentral. Lineage: Eukaryota; Metazoa; Chordata; Aves; Anseriformes; Anatidae.
GCCCCCUGCUACCAAAACCUUGCCACAUAAACCCACUACAGCUGUAUGUCCCAGACAGUUGCCUAGACACUUCCACGCACAAAAGUGUGGUUUACCCUAAAACCUGGUUGAUCUCUGAGAGCUCCUUUCAGCAAGCCACAGACACCUCUUGCAAGCCUGCAAAAGCCUCCUACUUGUUUUCUGAGGCACAAUGCAACUCGUUCUGUUAAAAGAAAAAAGAGGAUAUGUGGAGACUGCUUGGCCAGAGUCCACCAAAAGGGACCUGACCCCACGGACAGGAGCUGACAGCACAGUGCUUCAAAAGCCAGCAGCUCCUGAGAUCUGUUUUGCCCACUGCCUCCAGCGUCCUGUCUCUGCAGUGACGAAGGAUGUGGUCGCCCCUUCUGCAUCUUCCCUCAUACACCUGGAGAUCAUCAGCACCUUAUUAUACACGUAUCUGGGCAGCACAUCUUGAAGAGUCGCAGUCUUUGAUGGGAAACUGUCCUCCUGUCUGUUAUGAAGCUGGGGGGACACUUUAUACCCCAAGUGCUGCAUUUUAGCAUGUUAUUAAUAUUUGUGAACAUACUGAAGUCAAAGUAAAAGCAGGAAGCAGUAAAGCUCUAUCACUUUUUCCAGCUCAUUUUGUCAGAAAUAUUUUUAGCAGUUUGGCACACGAUGUUAAUAUCACAGGACUUGGCUAAUCCAUUUGCAUAAACAGGCAGCUUGACUCAUUAUAAAUCAAUUAAGCCAGUACAGCCCCACUGACACAAAGGUCCACAUUACACUGCCUUUGCACAUUUUUGUUGUG